CAGUCGCCACGGGAAUACGGAGGGAGCUGGCGUUAUUCGGAAUUACUGGGCGUAAAGCGCACGUAGGCGGCUUUGUAAGUUAGAGGUGAAAGCCUGGAGCUCAACUCCAGAAUUGCCUUUAAGACUGCAUCGCUUGAAUCCAGGAGAGGUGAGUGGAAUUCCGAGUGUAGAGGUGAAAUUCGUAGAUAUUCGGAAGAACACCAGUGGCGAAGGCGGCUCACUGGACUGGUAUUGACGCUGAGGUGCGAAAGCGUGGGGAGCAAACAGGAUUAGAUACCCCCGUAGUCCCUGUCUCUUAUAC
RNAcentral lists this ribosomal RNA (301 nucleotides) under uncultured bacterium. RNAcentral describes it as "partial 16S ribosomal RNA". It matches the Rfam family "Bacterial small subunit ribosomal RNA", at positions 509 to 807 of the family's 1533-position model. The record is from RNAcentral.